UGAAGCAUGACAGCCAUGGCCUGCCCCUGGCCAGCAGCUCCCUGCUGUCACCGGCUGUGGGGCAGAGAAUAGGCUUCUCUGCCUUUAAUCAGCACUGGCAUAGACCUGGGGAGAGCCAAGAAGAAGCGCUGAGAUGGCACUGUGGUGGCCGGGCCUCCUGCCUCAUCUCCUGGCAGGCUGAGUGAUGGAUUCCUCACACUCAAUCAUCCAGAAUGACAGAGAACUGGCUGCCUGUGUGACAUUCCGGGAAGGGGGCUCCACUGCUGACAACGCCCUCUGCACCAUGAGAGCAGAUACAGAGUCUUGCUAUGUCGUCCAGGCUGGUUUUGAACUCCUGUCUUCAAGGGUUCUUCCUGCCUUGGCUUCUCAAAGGGCCAGGACUACAAGCAUGAGCCACCACACCUGGCCAGUGUCAGCACUGCCGCUGCUGCUAGCACAGCACACUGGCUACGAUCCAAACACCAGGCCGACUACAUCACUCCUGGCUUCCCCAGCACAACUCUAGGAGGUCAGUACUAUCAUCUGCCUCAGUUUCACACAUGAGGAAACUAAGGCACAGUUGGAAAACUUACCUGUGUCCUCACAGCUACUGAGGAGCUGAGCAAGGACUGAACCAACAGUAUCAGGCUCCAGGGUCUGUGCCUCCAAGCUGUCAGCUACCCUGUUCCUCAUCUUCUCAACGUUGUGGUUCCCCACAGCACAAAGAUUCUGACGUCCUAAUCCAUAGGAAUGGUGACUACGUCAGAUUACAAGACCAAGGGGAAUGAAGGCUGCAGAGGGAAUUAAGAUUACUGAUCAUCUGACUUUGAGAAGGCAAAGAUUAUCCUGGAUUAUCUCUGUGAGCCCAAAGUAAUCAUAAAGGUCCUUCCAGGGUGGAAGAGUGUGGUUGGAGUCAGAGAAAGAUGUGUAGAUGCAGCAACGCUGCCAGCUCUGAAGAUGGAAGAAGGGACCAUGAGCCAAGGACUGCAGGUGUCCUCCACAAGCUGGAAAAGGCAAGGACAUGGAUAUUUCCCUAGAAAUCCCAAAAGGAGGGAGCCCUGACAACACCUUGAAUGUAGCCCAGUGGGGUGCAUUCUGUGGUUCUGACCUCCAGAACUGUAGGAUAAUGAAUUUGUGCUGUUUUGGACCACUGCGUUUGAUAAUUUGCUAUAAAAGAAGAUUCCUGCAGAUGCAAAAGCAGCUCCCGUUUCUUUCCUCCUCAAAGCUCAGCAGCACAGCACUCUGCAGAAGAAUCCAAAGGCAAAACCCCAUCCUAAACACCCUCCCUUGCUCCCUGUGCAGAUGUCCUCCCUGAGGUCCACCUGGGCUUUGUUUGGCUACGAGGUGUGACUGGACAUUGUAUCUUGAGGCCAGACGUGGCCGAGCUUCCCUGCAAAUCAGGAACCUCCACUACAGGCUUCUUCCGCUCCAAAGUCCCCUUCCUGAGGGCCAAGAGCUAAGCAAGUCCCACUCCCAGCAGCAGCUGGACUGAGCCUCAUUACCAGGGAAGUCAGGGCCUCCAGGGACAGAGGUAGAUUUGUGCCUCUUAAAGAGCAGUGGAGUUCAGGGAGGACUGUACUGAGAUAGCAGGGAGAGUACCAGAAGGAACAGAAGGACAGAGAGAAAGACAUCAAAUUUGCAUGAGGGGAAGACAAGGUUUUAAUUACGCCUUUUCUUAACCUCAUUGUACCUUGAGGUAUCUUAACAUUACUCUCCCUGGCAGGAAGGAUUGAUUGAUUGCCUCUUGGCAUUCAGAAACCCCGAUUAAUGUAAAACUAACCAGUCGUUCUAAACUCUGGGGAAUUAAUCACUUAAAUGUGGGAAUUACUCAAUAAACCAUUCAAACAUGCAAUAAACCAAGCCAUUAAAAAUUAAUCGCUCGACAUCCUGGCCAUGUAAACAGAGCUAAUAAGAUCCAGGCAGCCCAGAAAGAGGAGGAAAAGAAUGAAGCAGGAAGAUGAUGCCUUUUAGCAGCCACACCCAAGGACCCACGUAGAUACACCAAAGUCCAGGAUGCACAUCACAAAUCAUCAGGGUAGGUGACAUCUGGUCCCUAGGGUCUCCCAGCCUGUCCUCAGGACAAGAGUGGACAGGUAGGUAAGAGAGAGGGGACCUCAGUGGGCUGUUAGGAAGAGGCAGUGGGGUUAGAGCUACAGUGCUUAACAAAUUCUUACUGAGCAUCUACUAUGUACCAGGCACCGUGCAGGACUCUGCAGGUACAGCCACCAACAAGAGGACGGUGGCUGCCUUCAGGGAGCUGACACUGGAGUGGAAGGUGUGCAUGUGUGUCUGUAUGUCUAUUAGAAACUAUAUUUAUUUUAUGAAGCACUGGCUUUAAAGAAAAACAAAGCCAAGACUUGCAAGGGGUAGAAGAUGACAGAAGAUGAGAGUUCCUUUUUUAGACUGAGGAGGUGCCAUCUGGCCAAGACCCCAAAGUAGUGAGGGCAGGAAGCACACAGACAUCUGGGGAAGAGAAUUCCAGCCAGAGAUCUGGGCAAAUGCAAAGGCCCUGAGGUGGGCAAGGGAGCUGCAGGGAGAGGAAGUGGGUCCCAGAGGCAUGAGGCUUUGGAGGAGGGAACAGCAGUGAGUGCACAGAGUAUCUAGGGCCUCGUUAGGAAAUUGGAAAGAAUACGACUUUGGUCCCCAGGGAGAUGGAGAGCCACUGAAGGUUUCUGAGCCAAGAGGAGGCGGGUCCCGUCUGUCCUGCUUAUUAGGAGCCUCACACUGGUUGCUGGGUUGAGGACAGAAGAUGGAGACUGCCAGGCACAGUGGCUCACACCUGGAAUCCCAGCACUUUGGGAGACUGAAGCAGGUGGAUCACCUG
Callithrix jacchus (white-tufted-ear marmoset) is the source of this 2803-nucleotide long non-coding RNA. RefSeq lists it as uncharacterized. The record is from RefSeq and is a predicted model, not a curated record. NCBI's taxonomy places the organism in Eukaryota, Metazoa, Chordata, Mammalia, Primates, Cebidae.